Molecule: long non-coding RNA, 2811 nt
Organism: Monodelphis domestica (gray short-tailed opossum)
Lineage: Eukaryota; Metazoa; Chordata; Mammalia; Didelphimorphia; Didelphidae
Source: Ensembl
ACACAUGAUUGAAUGAAAACAUUUUUUGCAAGUAAAAUAGAAAAGAAACAAAUGUUUACAAGGUCAAGCCUAUGUAGAAAAAAAAGAUGAUACAACAAAGAACAUUUUUAAUAUAUUCUGCCAUGUGAAAAGAAAACUGGAAGGUCAGUAACAUUUUAUCAGAACUUUUGAAAAAAAUGGAAGAGGCGGGGCUGGUUGAAUAAAGUAGGCAGCCCUUUGGAAAAUAUUCUAUUUAUUCUAAAAAGAUGACUUCAAGAAGGCUCUGAGUUUCCUCUCUUCUGGAGUUUAUAACUCUCUCUUAGGGAGCUCACUGUUCCCAAGAGCUCAGCCAAUUAGAGGCUCCCUUGAUUUCUCUUCUUGCCUACCCAGGAGCUGUAACACCACCCAACAAGAUCGAUGAGAGAAGAUCCUGGGAAAGUCAUCCAUCUGAGGCAAGGAACAGAAAUGAAUAUUCAUUGAAGAACAAUGUUGCCCCACAAAAAUUUUAGGAGUCCGGCAUUGUUGCUUCAGAGUAAUUGUCCACAUUGCUCAUGGAAGGAGAGUGAACAGGCCAUGUUACAUGUCAAUCAUACACAGUCAGGCCAACAGAAAUUAUACUCUGAAAGUCAUGUCUGUGAAUGUUCACAUUCAGCUGAGAUUCCUGUCCCUCAGGGAAAAUCUGGCAUAUGGCCUCCACUAUCAGAUCCUGAUAAAUGUACCCUUGAGAGUCUAUCCUGUGAUGAUACCCAACAAACUGAGAAAUCCCCACCUCAUGGAAAAGUUGCCAUCCAACCAAUGCUAUCAAGUCAAGGGAAAUUCACUAAUGAAAGUUCAGGUUAUGAAAACUUACAGUCCAUUGAUUCUACCCUUCCUCAUGGAAAAGCUACAAUCUGGCCUCCACUGUCAAGCCGGGGAAAAUUCUGGGAAGACUCAUACCAAAUGGAGAGUGUCAUUCCUCGUGUAAAGGCAACCAUUCAACAGAUUCCAUCAGGCAGAGCAAAAUUUACCUCUGAGAAUACAAUCUGGGAAGGCUCACAAUCAAAUCAAACUACCAUCUACCAUGGAAAAAGUGGUGUCUACCACCCAUCAUUUGGCAGAGGGAAAUUAAUCCGUGAAAGUCCAGUUUGGGAAGGAUCACGACCAAAUGGGACUCCUCUCCAACUUGGAAAAAUUGGCAUCCAGAAUACAUCUGUAACUAGAGGAAAAUUCAGUCGUGAGAAUUCAGCAUGGGAAGGCUCACAACCAGCUGAAAAUACCCUCUCUCAUAAAAAGCCUAUUGUCUGGCCUCCACCACCAAACCGAGAAAAAUUCAUCUCUGAGAAUAUAGCUUGUGAAGGUCCAAAACCAGCUGAGACUACAUAUGGCCAGGGCAAGUCUAUCAUCUACCCAUCAUCAUCAAGCCAAAGAAAAUUAUUGAAUGACAAUUCCAUGUGGGAAGGCUCCCAAUCAGGUGAAACUCCCUUUCUUAGAAAAAAUGCAAAUCAUCCCUCACCAGGCCCAGGGAGAUUCACUUGUGACAGUCCAAAGUGGAAAGGUUCACAAAAUGCUGGGACUCCCCAUCUUUUCAGUAAAAGUGGCACCAGAAUCCCACAAUUAGGCAGAGGGAAAUUGAGCUUUGAGAAAUUUCUAUGGCAAGGCUCUCAACCAUCUGAAAUUCCUCACGCAAAACUUACUGUCAAACGUUCGCCAUCCUGUUUAGGGAAAUUUACUUAUGGUAAAUCACUUUGGGAAGGUUCCCAACCAGGUGAGACUAUCUUAACUCAAAGAAAAGUUAAUAUCAAGCGCUCACCAUCAUGUCAAGGGAAACUUGCUUAUGAUAAAUCAGUUUGGGAAGGUUUAAAACCUGCUGAAGCCCCACUACAGCGUGGAAAAACAACAGUCUGGCCUCCACCACCCAGGCGAGGGAAAUCAUCCAGUGAAGUUUCAUCAUGGAAAGAUAAAGAGUCAGCAGAGACUCCCCAUUCCUUUGGGAAAAUUAUCACCAGAGGAAAAUUCAACUGUGAGAGUUCAGGGAUAGAAGGUUCACAAAAUGCUGAGAUUGCCUAUGUUCUUGGAAAACCAGUGAUCCAGACCCCACAGUCAGGCAAAGUGAAGUUAACUUUUGAUGAUCCUGAAUGUGAAGGCACAGAACCAGCUGAGACUUCUCUCCCUCACAGCAAAACUACCAUCCAACGCAGACAAUCUUUUCUUGGGAAAUUUACCUGUGAAAACCAAACAUGGGAAGGCACACAAUCAGAUGAGAAUGCCAUCCCCAAUGGAAAAACUUUAAGCUGGUCCCCACCAGCAGGACAAGGAAAAUUCUCCUUUGACAGUUCAAGCUGUGAUGAUUCCCAAGUAUUUGAAACUACCCACUCUCAUGGAAAAGGUCCACUCCAUCUCCAACCAUUGGGCAAAGGGAAAUGCAUACAGGAGAAACCAGGCUGGGAAGGUUCACAGUCAGCUGAAUCCCCUCUUCCCAUUGGAAAGUCUGCUGUUCAGCCCAAAACAGGAAGAGAGAAAUUCACCUGUGAGAAUUCAGUUUGGGAAAACUCUCAGUCAACCAAACUUUCUCACAGAAAAACUCGAGUUCAGCACUCUGCAUUGGUUCGAGGAAAAUUCCGCAGUGAAAGUACAAUCUGGGAAAGCACACAACCAUCUGAGGUGCCUCUGCUUCAGGGAAAAUCUGCUGUUUGGCCCCCACAAUCAUCCCGUAUGAAAUUCACUUGUGAUAGUCCAGUGUGGGAAUGUUCACAAAAAAUUGAGAGUUCCCUCCAUCGUGGAAAAGUUGCUUGGCAGUCUCCUCCAUCAGGCAGAGGGAAAUUUGCUGGUGCACACACAUCUUGGGAAGGCUAA